Molecule: ribosomal RNA, 449 nt
Filed under: uncultured bacterium
Lineage: Bacteria
Description: partial 16S ribosomal RNA
Rfam family: Bacterial small subunit ribosomal RNA
Source: RNAcentral
GUCGAGAAUCUUUCACAAUGGGGGCAACCCUGAUGGAGCGACGCCGCGUGGAGGAUAAGGUCUUCGGAUUGUAAACUCCUGUCAUGCGUGAACAAGGUUGCUUGGUUAAUACCUGGGCAAAUUGAUGGUAACGCAAGAGGAAGAGAAGGCUAACUCUGUGCCAGCAGCCGCGGUAAUACAGAGGUCUCAAGCGUUGUUCGGAAUCACUGGGCGUAAAGGGUGCGUAGGUGGCGUGGUAAGUCAGAUGUGAAAGCCCGGGGCUCAACCUCGGAACUGCAUCCGAUACUGCCAUGCUAGAGUACUGGAGAGGUGACUAGAAUUCUCGGUGUAGCAGUGAAAUGCGUAGAUAUCGAGAGGAAUACCAAAGGCGUAGGCAGGUCACUGGACAGUUACUGACACUGAGGCACGAAGGCCAGGGGAGCGAACGGGAUUAGAUACCCCGGUAGUCC